GGAAUAUUGGACAAUGGGCGAAAGCCUGAUCCAGCCAUGCCGCGUGUGUGAAGAAGGCUUUCGGGUUGUAAAGCACUUUCAGUGAGGAAGAAGGCCUUGGGGCUAAUACCCCCGAGGAAGGACAUCACUCACAGAAGAAGCACCGGCUAACUCCGUGCCAGCAGCCGCGGUAAUACGGAGGGUGCAAGCGUUAAUCGGAAUUACUGGGCGUAAAGCGCGCGUAGGCGGUUUGUUAAGUCGGAUGUGAAAGCCCCGGGCUCAACCUGGGAACUGCACCCGAUACUGGCCGACUAGAGUACGAGAGAGGGAGGUAGAAUUCCACGUGUAGCGGUGAAAUGCGUAUAUAUGUGGAGGAAUACCGGUGGCGAAGGCGACCUCCUGGCUCGAUACUGACGCUGAGGUGCGAAAGCGUGGGGAGCA
RNAcentral lists this ribosomal RNA (420 nucleotides) under uncultured bacterium. Its description in RNAcentral is "bacterial SSU rRNA". It matches the Rfam family "Bacterial small subunit ribosomal RNA", at positions 358 to 770 of the family's 1533-position model. The record is from RNAcentral.